AUACGUAGGGUGCAAGCGUUAAUCGGAAUUACUGGGCGUAAAGCGUGCGCAGGCGGUUUUGGAAGACAGUGGUGAAAUCCCCGGGCUCAACCUGGGAACUGCCAUUGUGACUGCAAGGCUGGAGUGCGGCAGAGGGGGAUGGAAUUCCGCGUGUAGCAGUGAAAUGCGUAGAUAUGCGGAGGAACACCGAUGGCGAAGGCAAUCCCCUGGGCCUGCACUGACGCUCAUGCACGAAAGCGUGGGGAGCAAACAGGAUUAGAUACCCUGGUAGUCCACGCCCUAAACGAUGUCAACUGGUUGUUGGGGAUUUAUUUUCUCAGUAACGAAGCUAACGCGUGAAGUUGACCGCCUGGGGAGUACGGCCGCAAGGUUAAAACUCAAAGGAAUUGACGGGG
RNAcentral lists this ribosomal RNA (395 nucleotides) under uncultured bacterium. RNAcentral's name for it is "partial 16S ribosomal RNA". It matches the Rfam family "Bacterial small subunit ribosomal RNA", at positions 523 to 918 of the family's 1533-position model. The record is from RNAcentral.